Molecule: long non-coding RNA, 1599 nt
Organism: Oxyura jamaicensis (ruddy duck)
Lineage: Eukaryota; Metazoa; Chordata; Aves; Anseriformes; Anatidae
Exons: 3
Source: RefSeq, a predicted model, not a curated record
UGCAAAGCUAAACGUUGGCUCUGGCUACCCAAGCCCUAAUAUCAUACGAGAAAUGCUGCUAUCAGCGCUGAACGAAGAGACCUACAAAUGUGAACUCCAAGUGUGUAUAGAAAAAUCCCAUGCUGAAGUCCCAAGGAACCCGUCUGAACUCUUUAAAGAAUGAGGCCAGCGGGAGGCUUUGCAGAGACCUGAGAGCUGGCUCAGCCUGUGCCUCUGCUAGUUUGCUGCAGUGACGCCUUAUCGGCAGCCUUCAUGCAUCGAGCGGUGCGUGCUGGGCAUCUGCUGGCUGGGUUAGGAACGGAUUUUCAUGUUCCAGUCAAGUGGUGCUGUUGGGGCUCAUUAGGUCUCCCCUGUACUGUGAUAACUUCCCAGGACCACCCGAGCACUUCCCAUUCAGCAGGAUUCUAUAGGAACCAGAGACGCUUGCAGGGACUUGACCUCCGCCGUGGUCUUUGGCACCUGACAGCUGUGGACUUGCCAAAUUUUGGGCCUGGCUUGAGGAGGGCUGCAUGGUGUGUGUGUGGUGGAUCCCUCUGGACUGAAUGCCUCGCGUGCAGUUGUCUGCCCUGGGGAGCCAGGUCAAACAUCAGCUACUGAAGUGUGACGGGCUCUUAGGGAGCGGUGGCACUUGUGCCUGACCCUCGCUCAAGUGGGGGUAUGUAAAAUGCCAUAGAAACAAUUAAUGCUGUUUUUAACCCAAAGAAUUCUACUUGCCUCUAAGCAGUAUCUUCAGCAAAAGCUUGGCAGACAAGAAAACAAAACUGAAAGCACGUGAAAAUCUCAUCCAGCCCGAAGCGGGGAUCCUUUUGUCCCUUCAGAGGCAACACAUGGCCAUAAGCAACCCUGCAAGCAACCUGCAACAAGGGAGCGUUGGAGGAAAAGUGAGUGGCGCGUGGUGCAGGGAGCCUUGUCUCAGGGGAACCGGGGGCUGAGGGGCGUUUGGCUGUUUUUGUACAUGGGGGUGCAAGGGCUGGGGAAGGAAAGCUUCAACGUGAAGGCGGUUUUGACUCUCAUCAUCUGGAAAUGCCCAGCAGGAUCUGGCUGUGUUUCCACUCAUGUAAAUCUGGGCUGUGCCAGGUUGUGCGGAAGCAACUUCAGCUGUUAGCAGAAUGGGGUUGCUCUCAGACGUCUGCACGGGUUAGGUGGAAGAAAGACUGAAAUAGCAGUCUCUCCUGGGAACGUUCACGGAUGAAGACAAACUAAUAAUUUUUAAAUAUAGCUAAUAGUUUUAAAGAGAUUUUUCUAUUUCUAAAAGGCAGUAGGAGAAUUUACGUAGACAAGCUGGAAUGCUUUGUGUUUGUCCAUGCACCCAACCUCUUGGCAUGCAGCUUGGAUUAUUUUUUUCACCUGCCCCGUCCUACGUGACACUUGCAUGUUCUGCAGGAAUGUGGCUAAUGGAUACUUCAAAGCAAAGUGAACAGCUGUUGCGUCAGCUUCUACUGAUGCUUCUUUUAUUCUGAUAUCAGCCAAUGUAUUUUGUAGUGGAAGACAAUUUCACUUUGCUUUAAGGAACGUUGGCGAUGCCAGCUAUGGAGAGAACUUAGAACUGGCUGCUAAGAUACAGGCAAAUUGUUACCCUCCUUCAGUUCCCAAACAGAU